AUGGUUGUAACGGGUAACGGGGAAUCAGGGUUCGAUUCCGGAGAGGGAGCAUGAGAAAUGGCUACCACAUCUACGGAAGGCAGCAGGCGCGCAAAUUACCCACUCCUAGAUCGGGGAGGUAGUGACAAAAAAUAACAAUACCGGACUCUAUGAGGCUCGGUAAUUGAAAUGAGUACAGUUUAAAAGCCUUAACGAGGAUCUAUUGGAGGGCAAGUCUGGUGCCAGCAGCCGCGGUAAUUCCAGCUCCAAUAGCGUAUAUUAAAGUUGUUGCAGUUAAAAAGCUCGUAGUUGGAUCUCGGGUACUAGCAUUCGGUACGCUUAAUUGCUGUUACUGUUUGUCUAGUCCUAAUCAAUCGGUUGGCCAUUUAUGCCCUUUAUUGGGUGUUUUUGGUAGCCGAUACGUUUACUUUGAGAAAAUUAGAGUGCUUAAAGCAGGCUUUACGCCUGAAUAAUGUUGCAUGGAAUAAUAGAAUAGGACCUCGGUUCUAUUUUGUUGGUUUUGUAGAGCAUUGAGGUAAUGAUUAAUAGGGACAGACGGGGGCAUUCGUACUGCGGUGUUAGAGGUGAAAUUCUUGGAUCGCCGCAGGACGAACAACUGCGAAAGCAUUUGCCAAGAAUGUUUUCAUUAAUCAAGAACGAAAGUUGGAGGUUCGAAGACGAUUAGAUACCGUCCUAGUUCCAACCAUAAACGAUGCCAACUAGCGAUUAGCUGCUGUUAAUUAAACGACACAGCUAGCAGCUUCCGGGAAACCAAAGUUUUUGGGUUCCGGGGGAAGUAUGGUUGCAAAGCUGAAGCUUAAAGGAAUUGACGGAAGGGCACCACCAGGAGUGGAGCCUGCGGCUUAAUUUGACCCAACACGGGAAAUCUCACCCGGCCCGGACACUGUAAGGAUUGACAGAGUGAGAGCUCUUUCUUGAUUCGGUGGGUGGUGGUGCAUGGCCGUUCUUAGUUGGUGGAGCGAUUUGUCUGGUUAAUUCCGAUAACGAUCGAGACUCUAGCCUGCUAAAUAGUACGCCGAUCUUUAGUCGGCGCGUACUUCUUAGAGGGACAAGUAGCGGUUAGCUACACGAAAUUGAGCAAUAACGGGUCUGUGAUGCCCUUAGAUGUUCGGGGCCGCACGCGCGCUACACUGAAGGGAUAAGCGUGUUCUUCCUGCUCCGAAAGGAGUGGGUAACCCGCUGAAACCCCUUCGUGAUUGGGAUCGGGGCUUGCAAUUAUUCUCCGUGAACGAGGAAUUCCCAGUAAGCGCGAGUCAUAAGCUCGCGUUGAUUACGUCCCUGCCCUUUGUACACACCGCCCGUCGCUACUACCGAUUGAAUGGUUUAGUGAGAUCCUCGGAUUUGUCCGGAAGUGGCCGCAAGGUUGCCUCUAGGUUCGGAGAAGACGAUCAAACUUGAUCAUUUAGAGGAAGUAAAAGUCGUAACAAGGUU
RNAcentral lists this ribosomal RNA (1431 nucleotides) under metagenome. Its description in RNAcentral is "SSU rRNA". It matches the Rfam family "Eukaryotic small subunit ribosomal RNA", at positions 346 to 1801 of the family's 1831-position model. The record is from RNAcentral.